AGAACGAACGCUGGCGGCAUGCCUAAUACAUGCAAGUCGAACGAACACUUCGGUGUUAGUGGCGCACGGGUGCGUAACGCGUGGGAAUCUGCCCUUGGGUUCGGAAUAACAGUUGGAAACGACUGCUAAUACCGGAUGAUAUCGAAAGAUCAAAGAUUUAUCGCCCAGGGAUGAGCCCGCGUAGGAUUAGCUAGUUGGUGAGGUAAAGGCUCACCAAGGCGACGAUCCUUAGCUGGUCUGAGAGGAUGAUCAGCCACACUGGGACUGAGACACGGCCCAGACUCCUACGGGAGGCAGCAGUAGGGAAUAUUGGACAAUGGGCGCAAGCCUGAUCCAGCAAUGCCGCGUGAGUGAUGAAGGCCUUAGGGUUGUAAAGCUCUUUACCCGAGAUGAUAAUGACAGUAUCGGAGAAUAAGCCCCGGCUAACUCCGUGCCAGCAGCCCGC
This 445-nucleotide ribosomal RNA is filed under the name uncultured soil bacterium. Its description in RNAcentral is "bacterial SSU rRNA". It matches the Rfam family "Bacterial small subunit ribosomal RNA", at positions 26 to 518 of the family's 1533-position model. The record is from RNAcentral.